CUGCUGCUUGGGGAGUACGGUCGCAAGACUGAAACUUAAAGGAAUUGGCGGGAGAGCACAGCAACGGGAGGAGCGUGCGGUUUAAUUGGAUUCAACGCCGGAAAACUCACCAGGGGCGGCUGUUACAUGAAGGCCAAGCUGAUGACUUUGCCUGAUUUUCAGAGAGGUGGUGCAUGGCCGCCGUCAGUUCGUACCGUGAGGCGUUCUCUUAAGUGAGAUAACGAACGAGACCCUCGCCUCUAUUUGCCAUCCUUCUCCUCGGAGAUGGAGCACUAUAGAGGGACCGCUGGCGCUAAGUCAGAGGAAGGAGAGGUCAACGGUAGGUCAGUAUGCCCCGAAUCUCCUGGGCCACACGCGCGCUACAAAGGACGGGACAAUGGGCUGCAACACCGAGAGGUGAAGCCAAUCCCGAAACCCGUUCGUAGUCCGGACUGAGGGUUGUAACUCACCCUCACGAAGCUGGAUUCCGUAGUAAUCGCGGAUCAACAUCCCGCGGUGAAUGUGCCCCUGCUCUUUGCAUACACCGCCCGUCAAACCAUCCGAGUUGGGUCUGGAUGAGGGU
This 562-nucleotide ribosomal RNA is filed under the name uncultured Thermoplasmatales archaeon. RNAcentral's name for it is "bacterial SSU rRNA". It matches the Rfam family "Archaeal small subunit ribosomal RNA", at positions 821 to 1384 of the family's 1478-position model. Lineage: Archaea; Methanobacteriati; Thermoplasmatota; Thermoplasmata; Thermoplasmatales. The record is from RNAcentral.